GAAAAGCUCGGGGAUGACUUGUGGGUAGCGGUGAAAUUCCAAUCGAGCCCGGAGAUAGCUGGUUCUCCCCGAAAUAGCUUUAGGGCUAGCCUCAAGGUGAGAGAUACGGAGGUAGAGCACUGAAUGUCCUAGGGGGUAUUGCACCUACCGAAGACUAUCAAACUCCGAAUGCCGUCAUCUUAUACUUGGGAGUCAGACUGUGGGUGAUAAGAUUCAUAGUCGAAAGGGCAACAGCCCAGAUCGUCAGCUAAGGUCCCUAAAUGUAAGUUAAGUGGUAAAGGAUGUGGGAUUGCACAGACAACCAGGAUGUUGGCUUAGAAGCAGCCACUCAUUCAAAGAGUGCGUAAUAGCUCACUGGUCGAGUGAUCCUGCGCCGAAGAUUUCCGGGGCUAAAACUUACUACCGAAGCUACGGCAUCAGUAAUGAUGGGUAGGGGAGCUUCCCAUACGGGUUGAAGCAUGACCGUAAGGACAUGUGGACAGUAUGGGAGUGAGAAUGUUGGCAUGAGUAGCGAGAUGUGGGUGAGAAUCCCACAGGCCGUAAACCCAAGGUUUCCAGGGGAAGGUUCGUCCGCCCUGGGUUAGUCGGGACCUAAGCUGAGGCCGAAAGGCGUAGGUGAUGGACAACAGGUUGAUAUUCCUGUACUACCGAUAACCGUUUGAGAGAAGGGAUGACACAGUAGGAUAAGCUAAGCACACUGUUGGUUAUGUGUGCCCAAGCAUUGAGGCAGUCAAAGUAGGCAAAUCCGCUUUGAUAAUGCUGGGAUGUGAUGGGGAGCGAAAUUUAGUAGCGAAGUAGCUGAUUUCACACUGUCAAGAAAAGUCUCUAUCGAGGUUAAAGGUACCCGUACCGCAAACCGACACAGGUGGGUGAGGAGAGUAUCCUAAGGCCAGCGAGAGAACUGUUGUUAAGGAACUCGGCAAAAUGACCCCGUAACUUAGGGAUAAGGGGUGCCACCAUCAGGUGGCCGCAGAGAAUAGGCCCAAGCGACUGUUUACCAAAAACAUAGGUUUCUGCUAAGUCGCAAGACGAUGUAUAGGAGCUGACGCCUGCCCGGUGCUGGAAGGUUAAGGGGAUCUGUUAGAGCAAUCGAAGCAGUGAACUUAAGCCCCAGUAAACGGCGGCCGUAACUAUAACGGUCCUAAGGUAGCGAAAUUCCUUGUCGGGUAAGUUCCGACCCGCACGAAAGGCGUAACGAUUUGGGCACUGUCUCAACAACAGACUCGGUGAAAUUGUAAUUCCGGUGAAGAUGCCGGAUACCUGCGACAGGACGGAAAGACCCCAUGGAGCUU
This 1292-nucleotide ribosomal RNA is filed under the name Clostridioides difficile. RNAcentral's name for it is "partial 23S ribosomal RNA". It matches the Rfam family "Bacterial large subunit ribosomal RNA", at positions 791 to 2101 of the family's 2925-position model. The record is from RNAcentral. Lineage: Bacteria; Bacillati; Bacillota; Clostridia; Peptostreptococcales; Peptostreptococcaceae.